CCCCAGAGUCCCAGGAGGCAUGCAACCAGGAGCUCUUCUCAAGCGAGGAGGAAAGUAGCCAGUCGCAGCAGCCGGUACUUGGUGGAGGACAAGCAGAGGAGCAGGUUACCGUGUCCUUGACUACUCGACUGUCCAUAUCAUCGACUGCUCAGAGGCUACAAAACCUCAGGAAGAAGCCGCAAAAAAGCAAAGACGACAUGCUGAAAGCAGUUAUGGAUCACUCUGCCAGAGACAGUAAAAAACUGCAGGACUGGACGAAAAAACUGCAGGACUGGAGGGAAAGGGAAAGCAGCGGUUAAGAAGAAAAGCACAAAGCAGCUGAUAAGCAUCCUGGCGCACCAAGCGGACUCCAUCCAGUCACUCGUAGCCAUGCAGGCAGAGCACUACCGUGCCAGCCCUCCUCCGUCCCAAAGCUCUUUCCUUUGUGUCCCAAUGUCAGCUCCAAACCCCCUUCCCCAGCAUCCAAGUUCUUACCACCACCAGCUGCCCCCAACACCUGUACGUUCACCAACCAGUCCUGAGAACUACGACCCUUACCCUCUGCACUCAACCCCCAUCACCAUGAAGUAUAGGCAUCCUGAAGUGCAGCAGUCAUUGCACAGCACUCCAGACAGGACAUAUUCAAACCUGUGACUGUACAGUUCACCACCCCACCCUCCUGCCCUUUUAGGUUCCCAAAAUGUUGUGUGUCUGUCAAGAAAGUUAUUUUCUUUUCAAUAAAUGAA
This is a long non-coding RNA of Gopherus flavomarginatus (Mexican gopher tortoise), 725 nucleotides long. RefSeq lists it as uncharacterized. NCBI's taxonomy places the organism in Eukaryota, Metazoa, Chordata, Testudines, Testudinidae. The record is from RefSeq and is a predicted model, not a curated record. The transcript has 2 exons.